AUAAAGUUUUAACUGAUUUGCAAUCAGGAUAUAUGAAAUUCAUACUAGAAU
This 51-nucleotide transfer RNA is filed under the name Araneus angulatus. Its description in RNAcentral is "tRNA-Ala". Lineage: Eukaryota; Metazoa; Arthropoda; Arachnida; Araneae; Araneidae. The record is from RNAcentral.